GGGAGGGACAAAGGAUGAGGGAGAAAGAGAGACUGUUCCAUCUACUGCUUGAUUCACUCUCUAAUUAUCCUAACAGCCAGGGCUAUGCCAGGCUGAAGCCAGAAGGAAAUAAUCUUACCUGCAUCUCUUUUGAGGGUUACAGGAACUCAAGUACUUAUCCAUCAUCCACUACCUCCCAGGUACAACAACAGGGUGUUUUAUUUUAAGUAUGGAAUAACCAGGAUGAAAACCACAAAUUUGCUUAUGGGAUGUGUGUCCCAAGCAAUAUUCUAACCUGCAUCACCAUAUACAACCCUCUCAAGUUUGGUGGUUUGCUCUGGCUCUUGCCCAAACCCUGUGUCUCCAAUAGGCAAGUCCCAGACUUCUUCAUAAUAUAAAUGUUUAAUAAGGUAAACUCCAAUAAUCAAGUACUUUUCAAAGUGUGUAGGUGUCAUAUUUACUGAUGUCCAGAUGUGUAAAGCAAGAAAAAUUGUAAUGCCAAGGAUCAUUGUGAUGAAGAUUAUUUGAAGGCUUGUGUGUUGGGAGGUGUGUUAUUUGGGAUAAUUACUAGGAAAGUAUAGUACAAUAAGUAUGUAUUAUAUCCAUUUUUACUGUACAGUUGUGGGUAAAAAUACACAGGUUGCUAAAUGAGUAAAUUCUAUAGGAUUUUCAGUAUAUGGAUGGACUCCUGUUCAGUACAUCUGUAGUAAUACCAAAGUAGUUAGUACCACUCAAGUAUUUUUUUUCUGUAGUAUGGUUUUAGUGACAAAAUGAUGUUUAUUUCUAUGAUAUACUGAAAUUUGUUUAAACAGUCAUCCUGAAAAUAAUAAAUUUCUUCUCAGUCAUAACAUUAGCUUUUUUAUUUAAAGAUAUAUUUUAUUUAUUAAAAAGACAGAGUUACAGAGAGAGGUAGAGACAGAGAGAGAGGUCUUCUAUCUGCUGGUUCACUCUCCAGAUGGCUGCAAUGGCUGGAGCUGCACUGAUCCAAAGCCAGGAGCUAGGAGCUUCUUCUGGGUCUUCCAUGUGGGUGCAGAGGCCCAAGGACUUGGGCCAUCUUCUACUGCUAUCCCAAGCCAUAGCAGACAGCAGGAUCAGAAGAGGAGCAGCUGGUACUAGAAUCAUUGCCCAUAUGGGAAGCUGGUGCUUCAGGCCAGGGCAUUAACCCACUGUGCUACAGUACCGGCCCUAUCACUUGCUUUUUAAAAAUAAGUAGCAACAAAAUGAUUCCAUUAACCUAAGGAUAACUAGAUUUAAUCACUGCCAGUUAGUAAAAUUUUGGGUGCUCUUUCAGGAUCUUCCCUUCCCCUUAUCAAGUGUAAAUUGCUAAAUCACCACAGAGAUUGUUUCUGUUUCUCCAGCUAAUAUAUCUAUAAUUCUGCAUUCAUUUCUAUCAUGAUCUUCCCUACAUUGUAGAGUCUAAGUGCAAGCGAGACCAGUUCUCUCACAACUCCCUGUAUUCACUUUCUUUUCCAGGUGUAAUUGUAGAUACCACUACAUGUUUCAGGGGCCAAAGAAAAUGAAUACAACACCAAUGUUGGUGUCAUUUGAAGACCUGGCUGUGGACAUCACUCAGGAGCAGUGACAGUACCUGGACAGUUCUCAGAGGACCCUGUACAAAGAUAUGAUGAUGGAGACCUACAAUAGCCUGUUGUUUUUGGGGUACUGCAAAAGCAAACCUGAGGUGAUCUUCAAGUUGGAACAGGGGACAGAGCCAUGGACAGUGACAAAACCCCUAAAUUGGAGCCUGUCAGCCCACAGAAGGGAUGACCUAUUGGGAACCAACUGGAAAAGUCAACAAAUAAAUUUGAGGCAA
Molecule: non-coding RNA, 1792 nt
Organism: Oryctolagus cuniculus (rabbit)
Lineage: Eukaryota; Metazoa; Chordata; Mammalia; Lagomorpha; Leporidae
Source: RefSeq, a predicted model, not a curated record